AAAAUAUGUGCAGCACGAAAAAAGCUAUGAGAGAAAAACAUGGAAUUCAAUCAUAUCUUUGAUAACCGGUUAUGAGAAGUUAGGGAAGGCAGUUCUGAAGGAGAGGUGCAGAAAUUUCAGUAUUGCUUUUGAGGAAGUGUAUAAAAACCAGACAGGAUGGACUAUUCCAGAUAUUGAUCUUCGAGAUGAUUUGAAUGUUUCAAUCGGAUUAAGGGUCAUUCAUGCCUACCGUACAUUCGCUGGAAAGGUGAGAAAAUCUCUCAGUGAAAAGCACAUCAAAUACACAGAAGAGGACUUGGAGGAGUAUCUCCUGGACUUUUUUCAAGGUUCAGCAAAGUCUCUUAAUCAUCACUGGAGGAGGUGAAAGUUGAAUAACAGUAGUAGUAUAUUUUCCUGCAUUGAGCGUUUCAAUUGUCUUAUCUUUUGUAAUUUAUCAACAUUAGUGUUGUAGUUCCCCCACCCCCACCCUAACACACACCACACAGA
RNAcentral lists this unclassified non-coding RNA (486 nucleotides) under Hevea brasiliensis (rubber tree). Lineage: Eukaryota; Viridiplantae; Streptophyta; Magnoliopsida; Malpighiales; Euphorbiaceae. The record is from RNAcentral.